This 144-nucleotide small RNA is filed under the name Flavobacterium weaverense. RNAcentral describes it as "Flavo-1 RNA". It matches the Rfam family "Flavo-1 RNA". Lineage: Bacteria; Pseudomonadati; Bacteroidota; Flavobacteriia; Flavobacteriales; Flavobacteriaceae. The record is from RNAcentral.
UUUUAGCCCUGAUCGUAGUGGAAAGCUUUUUGUAGCAUCGUUAUAUUUUUUCUUGUAAAUAAGAGCGACUUUAGAAGCUCCUUAAUUUACUUAGAAAAAAAUAAAAGAGAAUAUAAAAACUUGAAAUGUAGAGCAGGAUUAGCU